UGGGGAAUAUUGCGCAAUGGGCGAAAGCCUGACGCAGCGACGCCGCGUGGGGGAGGAAGGCCUUAGGGUCGUAAACCCCUGUCAGAUGGGACGAACCGUAGAUCGGCGAAUACCUGAUCUGCCUGACGGUACCAUCAGAGGAAGCUCCGGCUAACUCCGUGCCAGCAGCCGCGGUAAUACGGAGGGAGCGAGCGUUGUUCGGAAUUACUGGGCGUAAAGGGCGCGUAGGCGGCCGUGUAAGUCGGAUGUGAAAGGCCGGGGCUCAACUCCGUGCAUUGCAUCCGAUACUGUAUGGCUGGAGAAAGGUAGAGGCGAGCGGAAUUCCCGGUGUAGCGGUGGAAUGCGUAGAUAUCGGGAAGAACACCCGUGGCGAAGGCGGCUCGCUGGGCCUUUUCUGACGCUGAAGCGCGAAAGCGUGGGGAGCAA
This 426-nucleotide ribosomal RNA is filed under the name uncultured bacterium. RNAcentral's name for it is "bacterial SSU rRNA". It matches the Rfam family "Bacterial small subunit ribosomal RNA", at positions 355 to 771 of the family's 1533-position model. The record is from RNAcentral.